This 303-nucleotide ribosomal RNA is filed under the name uncultured bacterium. Its description in RNAcentral is "partial 16S ribosomal RNA". It matches the Rfam family "Bacterial small subunit ribosomal RNA", at positions 507 to 808 of the family's 1533-position model. The record is from RNAcentral.
AGCAGUCGCCACGGUAAUACGUAGGGUGCGAGCGUUGAUCGGAAUUACUGGGCGUAAAGCGUGCGCAGGCGGCUUUGCAAGACAGAUGUGAAAUCCCCGGGCUCAACCUGGGAACUGCAUUUGUGACUGCAAGGCUAGAGUGCGGCAGAGGGAGAUGGAAUUCCGCGUGUAGCAGUGAAAUGCGUAGAUAUGCGGAGGAACACCGAUGGCGAAGGCAAUCUCCUGGGCCUGCACUGACGCUCAUGCACGAAAGCGUGGGGAGCAAACAGGAUUAGAUACCCCGUAGUCCCUGUCUCUUAUACC